Non-coding RNA from Podarcis lilfordi (Lilford's wall lizard), 84 nucleotides. Lineage: Eukaryota; Metazoa; Chordata; Lepidosauria; Squamata; Lacertidae. The record is from the annotation of a GenBank genome assembly.
AUGCAGAUAGCUCAGUUUGUUAUUGAGCAUGGGGCUGAUAACGCCAAGGCUGCAGGUUUAAUCCCUGUAUGGGAUAGCUGCAUA